AAGGAGAACAAUGUGCUUGAAGGCAUG
This 27-nucleotide non-coding RNA is filed under the name Mus musculus (house mouse). The record is from RNAcentral. Lineage: Eukaryota; Metazoa; Chordata; Mammalia; Rodentia; Muridae.